This 381-nucleotide long non-coding RNA is filed under the name Homo sapiens (human). RNAcentral's name for it is "HSALNT0096952". Lineage: Eukaryota; Metazoa; Chordata; Mammalia; Primates; Hominidae. The record is from RNAcentral.
UGAAUGCGGCUGUUAAGACCUGCAAUAAUCCAGAAUGGCUACUCUGAUCUAUGUUGAUAAGGAAAAUGGAGAACCAGGCACCCGUGUGGUUGCUAAGGAUGGGCUGAAGCUGGGGUCUGGACCUUACUUUUUCUUCAGCAAUCAAAGCCUUAGAUGGGAGAUCUCAAGUUUCAACACCACGUUUUGGCAAAACGUUCGAUGCCCCACCAGCCUUACCUAAAGCUACUAGAAAGGCUUUGGGAACUGUCAACAGAGCUACAGAAAAGUCUGUAAAGACCAAGGGACCCCUCAAACAAAAACAGCCAAGCUUUUCUGCCAAAAAGAUGACUGAGAAGACUGUUAAAGCAAAAAGCUCUGUUCCUGCCUCAGAUGAUGCCUAUC